Molecule: non-coding RNA, 2319 nt
Organism: Podarcis lilfordi (Lilford's wall lizard)
Lineage: Eukaryota; Metazoa; Chordata; Lepidosauria; Squamata; Lacertidae
Source: the annotation of a GenBank genome assembly
GGAGGUGUGAGAAGGUCAUGGAAACAAGUGAAUGAAAGAUUGAAAUUAUUUGAUGUGUUUUAAAUUGCUUUUGUUUUUUUUUUUUUAGUUUAAAUUGUUUUUGUUAGUUUAGUGUUAGGUAUUGUUUUUGUAUUGUAUUCUAUUGUUUAUUUUCUUUUUUUAUGUAAUGUCUAAUUUGUUGGAAAGUAAUAAAUAUUAUUUUAAAAAAAAACAAUAUUUCUCUCAUACAUAUUAAAUGCCUGAAGGAGCACUUUUUUAAAAAAAGAAAGAGAAAUAAUAAUAAUAUUCCAUACCUUCAUUUUUAUGUUUCAUUUCUACGUUCUAUGUCCUCAUUUCUAUGUUUUCAUGGCAUAAAAGAAGGGAUGAAAGACCAGAAUUACUCAGGAUUUGUUAUGUUUUACUGUCAUUUUUGUAUUUAAGGGGAAAAAACACUUUUGACAGGUAUUUUAGUAUUUAUACCUUAUGACUCAUUCCAGCCAGCAGAGAAGAACUUAAAACACAGAACAAAAUUGCCAUCUAUAAUUGAAAUGGGCAGCAUUACCACUGCAAAGUACUUUUAUGUUUCAACUCUAUUAGGAGGAAAUUAGGGAGAUAUCCCAUCAGUGUUAUUGUUUACUUUAUAAUGAGAACAAGAGCAUAAAAAUAUAAUCAGCAUGAAUGCAGAGCAGAUCCAGAAACGGAUUAAAUUGACUGUAUCAGGAUCUCAAGAGUGUAGCUUGUGAUCACUGACAAGUUGAGUCCAUGCGAAGCUCCUACGAGAUGAAGCCCCUGAUCCAAAUAUGUUCCCAUGUACAGGAACAUAUUCUGUGUGUGCUACUGUGUGCAAGGACCUGUAUCUUUAUACGCUAACCAACAGAUGAUCAGCGCUGUCAUUUCUGACAGUACUAACCAGGUAUUCAAAGAUGACUGGAUCCCAAAAAACAGGCAACUGGAUCUUUCAAAGCUAGGAGCACUGUUUAUUCAUUGAGCAAUAGCUUUUCCCACUCUUUAUAACUUUUUAAUAUGCUUUUUUAUUGUAUGGUUUUGUUGCUGUAAAACCACUUUGAUUUCUUCCUUAUGACAUAGAAGUAUAUAAAUAUUUUUAUAAAUAAAUAAACUGAGCUGCAUCCGGUUUAUCUGCACAUCGAAGCCUUCUUCCAUUUCUCAACGGACUGGGGUGGAUGAGGGCUGUGUUCCAAUGUGGAAAAUAUGCUAAUUUGUAUAGAAUGGUUAACAAACUUAAAAGCUAUGCAAAUACAGCCAAGCACUUAAUACCUCAGCUAGUCUGGCAGUGAAAUGGUCUAGUGUCUUUUGUAGACCACUGUGAGAUGGGCACCUGUUAAUGAGAGAAUACAGUGAGAUGUAGUAAAAUCCCUAAAAGUGUUUACUAUUUUGUGUGUAUCCAACGCAUGUGCGACCACCAAGGUGCAGGUCCUUUUUGGACCCAAACCUACAUUUCAUUUCAUUUCAUAUCAUUUCCUUUUUUAAAAAACAAAAUGCCCACUUAUGGGGCUUAGAAGGUUUAAAAGUACUGAAUUUCACAAGGUGAUACUUAACAGUACUGCCUUAAAAUUCAUCAAGGAGACUAAAGAUUUGGUUUUUUUUGAACCUCAGCUGUAAAAGCAGGCAGAACUGCCUUGAAACUAAAAGCCCAUCAUCUUGGCAGCAUAGCCAACAAAAGAUUGAACUUUUGCUUAAACUGAUCACCUGAUUGAUCUCAACUCGAUUUUUAUCAGCAGUGGAUUGGAUAUCCCUGAGAUUCAUCAAAAAGCCUUUUUCCGGUCCUGGCAACAGCAAUGACAACAAAAUCAUACCAUAUUUACAGUAAAGAAAUGUGACUUGGAGAAAGACACGCCUUGUUUUCUUAGAUCAUAUACCCUAUCCUCUGCCCUCAAGGCUUCGUUUCUGUAACACAUCGGAGCUCCGAAUAGUGUAAAUACAAAGUGAUACUGGAAAAAACAUUGUCAAAACAUUUAGACAUAUGUGAUGGUGGCCUUCAGCAGGGGUAAGGAUUUUAUGGGAGAAACCUUGAAAGAUGACACUAUCACUAGCUCAGCUGCUGAGUCUAAUGCAUGUGUUUUUAGAAAGCAAAACCUCUCCUAUGACUAACAUGGCACACGCUUGUCCCUUUGCUCUGUUUUGCACAAAGGGGAGUUCAGCUACAAUCCUAGCAGCAUUUACCAGUAAGUUCCAUUAGGAUUUACCUUUGAUUGGUUAUGCCUACAAUUGCGCUGUCACUGUCAAACGUACAUCAUCCUGCAGCACAAUUAUAUGCAUUUCUACUCAGAAGUAAGUCCCAUUUGGCUCAGGGGGGCUUACUCCCAGGUAAGUGUGUACAGU